CCUGCAUCAGCUGCACAUGCUCUGGGUGGGAGCUGACAAUAUUUCCAUUUAUUCCUCAGCUUGGCUGGAGAAACAGCCCCUGAUUUCUCUGAGUCACUGCUGACAUCCUGCCCUGCUCCAGCACUUCCUCAUUCACAGGAGCUCCUUGCAGCAGCACGCCUGGAUCUCAGCACGUGCAGAGGGGACACAGGGAGACUCCACAGAGCCUUCCCUCCCUCUCAGGACAAAGCAAGUGCCUCCUAUGGAAGCUGAGCCUCCCUAAGCAGCCACCAGAGGUGACAGUCCAGGUGCUGGGACAUGUCCAUGACUGAGCUUUGCUUCAACAACAGAGACACAAGUAGCAGCUGAAGUGUCUGGUGAAUCUCCUGACAGAUUCCCAAGGGCUGGGAGGCACAAAAAUGAAAUGGUAAGUUAUGCUUUUCCUUGGGCUGUGAAGGAGCUGAAGGAAUUUGGGAGCAGAAGGGAUUUCAUUUA
RNAcentral lists this long non-coding RNA (474 nucleotides) under Serinus canaria (Common canary). RNAcentral's name for it is "lncRNA (ENSSCAG00000011321.1)". The record is from RNAcentral. Lineage: Eukaryota; Metazoa; Chordata; Aves; Passeriformes; Fringillidae.